GCACUACUGAGGUGUCCCAUAAUAGGACGAAACGGCCGUUCAGUGC
This is a non-coding RNA of Schistosoma mansoni, 46 nucleotides long. NCBI's taxonomy places the organism in Eukaryota, Metazoa, Platyhelminthes, Trematoda, Strigeidida, Schistosomatidae. The record is from Rfam.